UACGUAGGCAGCAAGCGUUGUUCGGAAUUACUGGGCGUAAAGCGAGUGUAGGCGGUUCGAUAAGUUUGGUGUGAAGUCUCCCGGCUCAACUGGGAGGGUGCGCCGAAGACUGUCGAGCUAGAGUGUGGGAGAGGUAGGCGGAAUUCCUGGUGUAGCGGUGAAAUGCGUAGAUAUCAGGAGGAACACCUGCGGUGUAGACGGCUUACUGGACCACGACUGACGCUGCAACUCGAAAGUGUGGGGAGCAAACAGG
Molecule: ribosomal RNA, 253 nt
Filed under: uncultured bacterium
Lineage: Bacteria
Description: partial 16S ribosomal RNA
Rfam family: Bacterial small subunit ribosomal RNA
Source: RNAcentral